NNNNNNNNNNNNNNNNNNNNNNNNNNNNNNNNNNNNNNNNNNNNNNNNNNNNNNNAGGCCUUCAGACCAAGGACCAAGAAGGAGCGGGACUUUCGGCUCCGGCAACUCCUUAUGGAGGCGGCACUUAGCCCGGACGCUCCAUCAGCGCGUCAGGCCUCGGCACCUGGCACCUCGGUGCGCAGUGCCCCGGCGGCACCGACUAUUCCGACCACGCGAGUGGCGUCGGACAAGCCUCCACGGCACCGGACCUCGUCAGCACCGCAAGCACAGCAAGUGCCUCGGCGCCGUUCGUUAUCCCCGGGACAUAAAAAAGCCCAUAAGACGGGGACCUCCGUGCCGAAGACGCCGGCUCCCCCAGUGCCGGGGGUAGAGCCGCGUCCGCCUGUGGAGCACCGGAAACAGGUGCCUCCAGCACCGUCGACUCCGGCUCCGAGGCCGUUGAGUCCGGUGCAGACAGGGUCUCCACUGAGACUGGCGGUGAUACAGUGCCUCCCGUCGACCCCAGAGACCUUCGCGAUGGCGAGAGACUUGAUCGCUCUCACGGAGCCGGCACCGCCGCAACCACCGGCACCGCCGGCACCGUUGACUCGUCCGGUCCAGUCUAGGGGGAAACCUGCCUUGAUGCGCCCUCCAUCGCAGGGGCUGGAACCACGGCACCGGUCCAGGUCCCGAAGCAGGUCCCCACGCCGCUCGCAGUCCCGGCGCCGGAUAUCACCUCGGCACCGGUCGUACUCGCGGCCAAGAUCUUCGUCGCGGCACCGCUGUACGUCUCGGCACCGUUAUGAUCGUCGGCACCGAUCAACAUCGAGACGUAGUUCUCGGCACCGCUACGAUCGACGCUCGACGUCGAGAGGCCGCUCCCGGCACCGGGCCUACUCCAGGUCAUCGUCGAGGUCCAGAUCCGACUCCCGGCACCGGCGAGGUCAUCGGCACCGAUCGCGAUCCCGGCACCGAUCGCCGGCACCGCGUGGAGAUAGAACAUCUCCGGACCGGCACCGUGCGGCACCGCAGCCCACGGGAUUCGUCUCGGCGCACUCGGCACCGCCAUGGCCAUCGAGAUCGGUGUCUCGCUCCUCUGAGGACUUAUCGAGAUCGGCAUACCCCCCUCAGGGGCAAGCCGAGGAGCAGGACAUAGGCCAUUGGCAAGAGGUAGCAGAGGACCCUGCUCAUGGCCCAUCUCACUGGUCGUUCUGGACCCCGUGGGCGUAACACCAGGCGCGACGGGCUCCAAUAACUCCGCCCUCACGCUCGGGCCACUCUGUUAGAAGGGCCCCGGAGUCCACCAGCCCUCGGCCUCCGCCAGGGGGCAUGGAGGCUUCCGUGUCCGCACCACCUGACGUCCUGGACCCAAGCGCAGGUGAUGCUCCGGCCCAGGAGCAGGGAGACCAGGACCCUCCCUUGGAUCCUU
Molecule: long non-coding RNA, 1408 nt
Filed under: Chrysemys picta bellii (western painted turtle)
Lineage: Eukaryota; Metazoa; Chordata; Testudines; Emydidae
Description: lncRNA (ENSCPBG00000026531.1)
Source: RNAcentral